Molecule: ribosomal RNA, 1372 nt
Filed under: uncultured bacterium
Lineage: Bacteria
Description: bacterial SSU rRNA
Rfam family: Bacterial small subunit ribosomal RNA
Source: RNAcentral
GAUGAACGCUGGCGGCGUGCCUAAUACAUGCAAGUCGAGCGAACAGACGAGGAGCUUACUCCUCUGACGUUAGCGGCGGACGGGUGAGUAACACGUGGAUAACCUACCUAUAAGACUGGGAUAACUUCGGGAAACCGGAGCUAAUACCGGAUAACAUGUUGAACCGCAUGGUUCAACAGUGAAAGACGGUCUUGCUGUCACUUAUAGAUGGAUCCGCGUCGCAUUAGCUAGUUGGUAAGGUAACGGCUUACCAAGGCAACGAUGCGUAGCCGACCUGAGAGGGUGAUCGGCCACACUGGAACUGAGACACGGUCCAGACUCCUACGGGAGGCAGCAGUAGGGAAUCUUCCGCAAUGGGCGAAAGCCUGACGGAGCAACGCCGCGUGAGUGAAGAAGGUCUUCGGAUCGUAAAACUCUGUUAUUAGGGAAGAACAAAUGUGUAAGUAACUAUGCACGUCUUGACGGUACCUAAUCAGAAAGCCACGGCUAACUACGUGCCAGCAGCCGCGGUAAUACGUAGGUGGCAAGCGUUAUCCGGAAUUAUUGGGCGUAAAGCGCGCGUAGGCGGUUUUUUAAGUCUGAUGUGAAAGCCCACGGCUCAACCGUGGAGGGUCAUUGGAAACUGGAAAACUUGAGUGCAGAAGAGGAAAGUGGAAUUCCAUGUGUAGCGGUGAAAUGCGCAGAGAUAUGGAGGAACACCAGUGGCGAAGGCGACUUUCUGGUCUGUAACUGACGCUGAUGUGCGAAAGCGUGGGGAUCAAACAGGAUUAGAUACCCUGGUAGUCCACGCCGUAAACGAUGAGUGCUAAGUGUUAGGGGGUUUCCGCCCCUUAGUGCUGCAGCUAACGCAUUAAGCACUCCGCCUGGGGAGUACGACCGCAAGGUUGAAACUCAAAGGAAUUGACGGGGACCCGCACAAGCGGCGGAGCAUGUGGUUUAAUUCGAAGCAACGCGAAGAACCUUACCAAAUCUUGACAUCCUCUGACCCCUCUAGAGAUAGAGUUUUCCCCUUCGGGGGACAGAGUGACAGGUGGUGCAUGGUUGUCGUCAGCUCGUGUCGUGAGAUGUUGGGUUAAGUCCCGCAACGAGCGCAACCCUUAAGCUUAGUUGCCAUCAUUAAGUUGGGCACUCUAAGUUGACUGCCGGUGACAAACCGGAGGAAGGUGGGGAUGACGUCAAAUCAUCAUGCCCCUUAUGAUUUGGGCUACACACGUGCUACAAUGGACAAUACAAAGGGUAGCGAAACCGCGAGGUCAAGCAAAUCCCAUAAAGUUGUUCUCAGUUCGGAUUGUAGUCUGCAACUCGACUACAUGAAGCUGGAAUCGCUAGUAAUCGUAGAUCAGCAUGCUACGGUGAAUACGUUCCCGGGUCU